GAGUUCAUGUGUUCAGCCUUCUUUCUAAUGAUGGCAAUAAGCAGCUGUCAACUAUUAUCUGAUGAUGUGAGGUGCUGGUAGGAGAAAUAAACUCAUCACUCUUACUGGUGCCAAAUUUUCUAAAGCAGAACAUCCUCCACUCUGGUUUGAGUGCAGUCUGUUGCAACGAUUCUUCUGGAGCUACGUGCAAGAUUGCAGUGUAUCAGAAGUUAUCAACUGAUGAGCAGCAUGACUUAUCAACACUAUAGUGGUUGUGCUUUGACAGGUAAUCCCUUGGAGAAGACCUCAUCAGUAUCACCUAAAAGUAGAAACCAGUUGCCAGCCGAUUUUUUUGUCUUCUUGCAGCGCUGCUUCACAGAUCUGCCUGUUUGCAUUAUAGAAGUUUCAGUCUUCCAGUUGGAGAGAAGUGACACAGAUAUUUAA
This 423-nucleotide long non-coding RNA is filed under the name Chrysolophus pictus (golden pheasant). Its description in RNAcentral is "lncRNA (ENSCPIG00010005279.1)". The record is from RNAcentral. Lineage: Eukaryota; Metazoa; Chordata; Aves; Galliformes; Phasianidae.